Molecule: ribosomal RNA, 520 nt
Filed under: uncultured Glomus
Lineage: Eukaryota; Fungi; Glomeromycota; Glomeromycetes; Glomerales; Glomeraceae
Description: SSU rRNA
Rfam family: Eukaryotic small subunit ribosomal RNA
Source: RNAcentral
AGCAGCCGCGGUAAUUCCAGCUCCAAUAGCGUAUAUUAAAGUUGUUGCAGUUAAAAAGCUCGUAGUUGAAUUUCGGGGUUAGUAGGUUGGUCAUGCCUCUGGUAUGUACUGGUCUCACUGAUUCCUCCUUCCUGAUGAGCCGUAAUGCCAUUAAUUUGGUGUUGCGGGGAAUUUGGACUGUUACUUUGAAAAAAUUAGAGUGUUUAAAGCAAGCUAACGCUUGAAUACAUUAGCAUGGAAUAAUGAAAUAGGACGUUCGAUCCUAUUUUGUUGGUUUCUAGGAUUGACGUAAUGAUUAAUAGGGAUAGUUGGGGGCAUUAGUAUUCAAUUGUCAGAGGUGAAAUUCUUGGAUUUAUUGAAGACUAGCUACUGCGAAAGCAUUUGCCAAGGAUGUUUUCAUUAAUCAAGAACGAAAGUUAGGGGAUCGAAGACGAUCAGAUACCGUCGUAGUCUUAACCAUAAACUAUGCCGACUAGGGAUCGGAUGAUGUUAAUUUUUUAAUGACUCAUUCGGCGCCUUA